This 504-nucleotide ribosomal RNA is filed under the name uncultured bacterium. RNAcentral describes it as "bacterial SSU rRNA". It matches the Rfam family "Bacterial small subunit ribosomal RNA", at positions 28 to 530 of the family's 1533-position model. The record is from RNAcentral.
GAUGAACGCUGGCGGCGUGCCUCAAACAUGCAAGUCGAGCGGGGCUAUGUAAUAUCGCAAGGUAGAACAUAGCCUAGCGGCGAACGGGUGAGUAACACGUGGGUAACCUGCCUGGAAGACAGGGAUAACGAUUCGAAAGGGUCGCUAAUACCUGAUAAUAUCCUUUCAUCGCAUGGUGAUAGGAAGAAAGGGGAAACCCGCUUUCAGAUGGGCCCGCGUCUCAUCAGCUAGUUGGUAAGGUAAAGGCUUACCAAGGCGACGACGGGUAGCCGGUCUGAGAGGAUGUACGGCCACACUGGGACUGAGAUACGGCCCAGACUCCUACGGGAGGCAGCAGUUGGGAAUCUUAGGCAAUGGACGAAAGUCUGACCUAGCGACGCCGCGUGAGGGAAGAAGGGCCUUCGGGUUGUAAACCUCUGUCAUGGGGGAAGAAGUAAGUGACGGUACCCCAAGAGGAAGCCCCUGCUAACUACGUGCCAGCAGCCGCGGUAAAAGUACUCUAAU